CAGAAACUAGAAAAGCCACUGAUUCGCCUGUAGCACGCACACUUCUAUCAUCUGCAAGCAAGCAAUUAUUUUGCUUGCAUUUUUUCUCUUGACAUCUGCCUCAGCAUCCAGCAUCUAACACGAGCACAAUGAAGAAUAUUAACGCAUAAUGUGAAGGUCUGCCGUGAAGAUGCUGGAGCAGCCUCCUCUCCAUCUUAGGAGGCACGAGGCAGACAUGUCUUAUGAACUCUUGCCGCCCCAGCCACACAUUCGGGGGCACACACCAUGGCUGGGGCGGCGACACAAGAGGGCAAGUCGCCCAAUUAAAUGUGUGGUCGACAUCGUGAUGGUUCCAUCUGGAAAGUGCAAAGAAAUGAAAGUGCUUCUGUUCAGUGUCCUUCGACCUCUCCCCACGUGCAAGAAGCGUUUUACUUCGAGUUACACAAAGCAUCACAGAAGCGAUACCUGCCAUUCCAUCAGUGCUCCCAACAUUCGUCGCUCGUUCCACUCCCCCGCUCGUCUCGCUGGCCGUUGGAGCAGGCUGUCGCAAUCCCCUGACCACCGGAAGGUCCCCACGACCAUAACCCACUGACGUUUUGAUACCCCUACCCGCAGCCCAUCAGCGGGGCGGAAAGAGCCUGGGGGACAGGGCAAACAUCCUUGAAGGACCAUCAUCAAGCCAACGGAGAAGAAUAAGCACGAAUACCAACAUCUGUACUUUCUGACACUCCUUAAUGUCUUAGCUGUCUGCUGGAAAUACAAAGACUUGUUACUUCCAAAGAGCAAAAUUUUACUACUUUUCAAUAACAUAAUUUUGCCACCAUGAUAGAGCCACUUGUGCACCAAGACUUUAGCCCGAAUAUCAAAACACUAUUCUGGAGGUAACACAGAAAAUGUUGUCAUCGAUUUCGAUCUUUCCAAAAGAGGCACCACCACUCUCAAAGUAGGAGCAUCGAUGAACCAUCGACCAACUCUCUCUUUCUUUAAGUUCAUCUUCCGAAAAAACAUUUUAUGUCAUGAAAAGCACAGUGGCGAAAGGACUUUACAUAAAAAAGCUAAAAAUUUAAUUUCAAACAAAGACAUUCCUAUAAUGAUCCGGAAUGUCUUUUUAAGCGAAAAGUUUAUGAAAAGAUACCUAUAAAAAACACGAACAGUCUAGUCUCUUGUAACAUCUUUGCAGACUCUGGUACAUUUAGUAAUAAAGUAGCCAUUAAGGAUUGUAAUUUAAUUUCAAACAAAGACAUUCCUAUGAUGAAUCUCGGGUGUCCUUUUAAACGAAAAGUUUAUGAAAAGAUACCCAUAAAAAAUACGAACAGCCUAGUGUCUUGUAACAUCUUUGCAGACUCUGGUAAAUUAGCAAGAAAGAAGGCCGACUUAUAUAGGCAUUAAGGAUUGUACAGGUCACAAGUCGGCAAGUCCCCUGUGUAACUUGUUAUCCCCUGAUAUCGUCUCUAGGUUACCUUCGAUCGAUGUGUACAAAGUCUAAGCUUCGAUUAUCAAAUGAGGACUGAUUUUUCCAGAUGUAGGUGACUCACUAGAAAGCAGCAGGCAAACGGACAUCAAGGUGUCCUCUUGUUCCUAAAUUGAUGUUUAAAAACACCUGUGAUGACACAGUUGAGAACGAUGUGUCCUUUAAAGCUAUUCUUACUCUCUUUGUUUCAAAACAGAAAAAAACAACAAAGCGAUGAUAGUAAAGUAAUUUAUGAAGCUAAACCAUUCACCUUAAGAAAACAUUUUUAUGUAUACCGAUCUAUCGCUUGUAUAGAUAAACAAAGCUACAAUCAUGACUACGUGUCUUAAGUUACAUCAACUUAUUUAAUGGUUCAGCUAAAGCAUUUGCCUAAUUAUUCAGCUGCAUAAAAUAGUGUUUAGCAAAGUGUCCAGCUGCAUAAAGUAUUUCUUAACAAAUUGUUAAGCUAAUAAGCUAAAUAAAAUAAAUCAGUCCUUUAGAAGCCAUUUUUAGGACAAGUGCAAAGAAACCGAUUUUGGUUGUUUUUGUUCCAAAAUCUGAAAAGGCUGGGAAAGGAGACGAUGCAGUUUAACAGCGAUAAUGGGGAAGUUUUAUUUCUCUUCUUAAUAGAUAAUGAUCUAUUAUUAUUAUUAUUCAUAAUAAAUAAUCUUCCUUGAAUUCUUUCUUUAUAAAUGCAAUAAACUCUUCUGAUCUAUGAC
Long non-coding RNA from Pomacea canaliculata, 2148 nucleotides. RefSeq lists it as uncharacterized. NCBI's taxonomy places the organism in Eukaryota, Metazoa, Mollusca, Gastropoda, Architaenioglossa, Ampullariidae. The transcript has 2 exons. The record is from RefSeq and is a predicted model, not a curated record.